CGAAGCCUGACGGAGCAAUACCGCGUGAGGGAAGAAGGCUUUUGGGUUGUAAACCUCUUUUGUCAGGGAAGAAGAAUUGACGGUACCUGAAGAAAAAGCAUCGGCUAACUCCGUGCCAGCAGCCGCGGUAAUACGGAGGAUGCAAGCGCUAUCCGGAAUCAUUGGGCGUAAAGGGUCCGCAGGUGGCGAAUAAAGUCUGCUGUUAAAGACCGGGGCUAAACUCCGGAAAGGCAGUGGAAACUGAUUAGCUAGAGUACGGUAGGGGUAGAGGGAAUUCCCAGUGUAGCGGUGAAAUGCGUAGAUAUUGGGAAGAACACCGGUGGCGAAAGCGCUCUACUAGGCCGAAACUGACACUGAGGGACGAAAGCUAGGGUAGCGAAAGGGAUUAGAUACCCCUGUAGUCUUAGCGGUAAACGAUGGAUACUAGGUGUAGCUUGUAUCGACCCGAGCUGUGCCGAAGCUAACGCGAUAAGUAUCCCGCCUGGGGAGUACGCACGCAAGUGUGAAACUCAAAGGAAUUGACGGGGGCCCGCACAAGCGGUGGAGUAUGUGGUUUAAUUCGAUGCAACGCGAAGAACCUUACCAGGGCUUGACAUGUCGCGAAUCUAGCGGAAACGUUAGAGUGCCUUAGGGAAUGCGAACACAGGUGGUGCAUGGCUGUCGUCAGCUCGUGUCGUGAGAUGUUGGGUUAAGUCCCGCAACGAGCGCAACCCUCGUCCUUAGUUGCCAAUAUUAAGUUAGGCACUCUAGGGAGACUGCCGGGGACAACUCGGAGGAAGGUGGGGAUGACGUCAAGUCAGCAUGCCCCUUACGUCCUGGGCGACACACGUACUACAAUGGUUGGGACAAAGGGCAGCAAGCUCGCGAGAGUAAGCGAAUCUCAUCAAACCCAGCCACAGUUCAGAUUGCAGGCUGCAACUCGCCUGCAUGAAGUAGGAAUCGCUAGUAAUCGCAGGUCAGCAUACUGCGGUGAAUUCGUUCCCGGGCCUUGUACACACCGCCCGUCACACCAUGGAAGCUGGCUACGCCCGAAGUCGUUACCCUAACCCGGUUUUGGGAGGGGGAUGCCGAAGGUAGAGCUAGUGACUGGGGUGAAGUCGUAACAAGGUAGCCGUACCGGAAGGUGUGGCUGGAUCACCUCCUUU
Molecule: ribosomal RNA, 1145 nt
Filed under: uncultured cyanobacterium
Lineage: Bacteria; Bacillati; Cyanobacteriota
Description: bacterial SSU rRNA
Rfam family: Bacterial small subunit ribosomal RNA
Source: RNAcentral